This is a non-coding RNA of Podarcis lilfordi (Lilford's wall lizard), 82 nucleotides long. Lineage: Eukaryota; Metazoa; Chordata; Lepidosauria; Squamata; Lacertidae. The record is from the annotation of a GenBank genome assembly.
GCCCUCGUAACAGACAGCUCAGUCGGUAGAGAACACGAGGCUCUGAAUCUCCGGGUUGUGGGUUCAAGCCCCACGUUGGGCU